CUUUCAACAACGGAUCUCUUGGUUCUGGCAUCGAUGAAGAACGCAGCGAAAUGCGAUAAAGUAAUGUGAAUUGCAGAAUUUAGUGAAUCAUCGAAUCUUUGAACGCACAUUGCGCCCCUCGGUAUUCCGGGGGGCAUGCCUGUUCGAGCGUCA
Molecule: ribosomal RNA, 153 nt
Filed under: Cladonia mauritiana
Lineage: Eukaryota; Fungi; Ascomycota; Lecanoromycetes; Lecanorales; Cladoniaceae
Description: 5.8S ribosomal RNA
Rfam family: 5.8S ribosomal RNA
About the family: 5.8S ribosomal RNA (5.8S rRNA) is a component of the large subunit of the eukaryotic ribosome. It is transcribed by RNA polymerase I as part of the 45S precursor that also contains 18S and 28S rRNA. Functionally, it is thought that 5.8S rRNA may be involved in ribosome translocation.
Source: RNAcentral